RNAcentral lists this ribosomal RNA (465 nucleotides) under Vreelandella stevensii. RNAcentral describes it as "partial 16S ribosomal RNA". It matches the Rfam family "Bacterial small subunit ribosomal RNA", at positions 338 to 795 of the family's 1533-position model. Lineage: Bacteria; Pseudomonadati; Pseudomonadota; Gammaproteobacteria; Oceanospirillales; Halomonadaceae. The record is from RNAcentral.
CCUACGGGGGGCUGCAGUGGGGAAUAUUGGACAAUGGGGGCAACCCUGAUCCAGCCAUGCCGCGUGUGUGAAGAAGGCCCUCGGGUUGUAAAGCACUUUCAGUGAGGAAGAACGCCUGGUGGUUAAUACCCAUCAGGAAAGACAUCACUCACGGAAGAAGCACCGGCUAACUCCGUGCCAGCAGCCGCGGUAAUACGGAGGGUGCGAGCGUUAAUCGGAAUUAUUGGGCGUAAAGCGCGCGUAGGUGGCUUGAUAAGCCGGUUGUGAAAGCCCCGGGCUCAACCUGGGAACGGCAUCCGGAACUGUCAAGCUAGAGUGCAGGAGAGGAAGGUAGAAUUCCCGGUGUAGCGGUGAAAUGCGUAGAGAUCGGGAGGAAUACCAGUGGCGAAGGCGGCCUUCUGGACUGACACUGACACUGAGGUGCGAAAGCGUGGGUAGCAAACAGGAUUAGAUACCCUGGUAGUC